Molecule: ribosomal RNA, 497 nt
Filed under: uncultured bacterium
Lineage: Bacteria
Description: partial 16S ribosomal RNA
Rfam family: Bacterial small subunit ribosomal RNA
Source: RNAcentral
GAUGAACGCUGGCGGCGUGCCUAAUACAUGCAAGUCGAGCGAACGGACGAGAAGCUUGCUUCUCUGAUGUUAGCGGCGGACGGGUGUGUAACACGUGGAUAACCUACCUAUAUUACUUGGAUAACUUCGGGAAUCCGGAGCUCAUCCCGUAUAAUAUUUUGAACCUCAUGGUUCAAAAGUGAAAGCCGUUCUUGCUGUCUCUUAUAGAUUGAUCCGCGCUGCAUUAGCUAGUUGGUAAGGUAACGGCUUACCAAGGCAACGAUGCAUAGCCGACAUGAGAGGGUGAUCGGCCACACUGGAACUGAGACACGGACCAGACUCCUACGGGAGGCAGCAGUAGGGAAUCGUCCGCAAUGGGCGAAAGCCUGACGGAGCAACGCCGCGUGAGUGAUGAAGGUCUUCGGAUCGUAAAACUCUGUUAUUAGGGAAGAACAUAUGUGUAAGUAACUGUGCACAUCUUGACGGUACCUAAUCAGAAAGCCACGGCUAACUACGUG